UAGGGAAUCUUCGGCAAUGGACGAAAGUCUGACCGAGCAACGCCGCGUGAGUGAAGAAGGUUUUCGGAUCGUAAAACUCUGUUGUUAGAGAAGAACAAGGACGUUAGUAACUGAACGUCCCCUGACGGUAUCUAACCAGAAAGCCACGGCUAACUACGUGCCAGCAGCCGCGGUAAUACGUAGGUGGCAAGCGUUGUCCGGAUUUAUUGGGCGUAAAGCGAGCGCAGGCGGUUUCUUAAGUCUGAUGUGAAAGCCCCCGGCUCAACCGAGGAGGGUCAUUGGAAACUGGGAGACUGGAGUGCGGAAGAGGAGAGUGGAAUUCCAUGUGUAGCGGUGAAAUGCGUAGAUAUAUGGAGGAACACCAGUGGCGAAGGCGGCUCUCUGGUCAGUAACUGACGCUGAGGCUCGAAAGCGUGGGGAGCAAACAGG
RNAcentral lists this ribosomal RNA (429 nucleotides) under Gemmatimonadota bacterium. RNAcentral's name for it is "Gemmatimonadetes bacterium partial 16S ribosomal RNA". It matches the Rfam family "Bacterial small subunit ribosomal RNA", at positions 355 to 776 of the family's 1533-position model. The record is from RNAcentral. Lineage: Bacteria; Pseudomonadati; Gemmatimonadota.